AUUGAACGCUGGCGGCAAGCUUAACACAUGCAAGUCGAACGAGUGGCGGACGGGUGAGUAAUGUCUGGGAAACUGCCUGAUGGUGGGGGAUAACUACUGGAAACGGUAGCUAAUACCGCUUACCAUCGGAUGUGCCCAGAUGGGUUUAGCUGGUAGGUGGGGUAAAGGCGCACCUAGGCACCGAUCCCUAGUUGGUCUGAGAGGAUGACCAGCGACAUUGGAACAAUGCCACUGUCCAGACUCCUACGGUAGGCAGCAAGGGGGAAUAUUGCACAAUGGGCGAAAGCCUGAUGCAGCCAUGCCGCGUGGAUGAAGAAGGCCGUCGGGUUGUAGAGUACUUACAGCGGGGAGGCGUUACCCGCAGAAGAAGCACCGGCUAACUCCGUGCCAGCAGCCGCGGUAAUAC
Molecule: ribosomal RNA, 406 nt
Filed under: uncultured bacterium
Lineage: Bacteria
Description: partial 16S ribosomal RNA
Rfam family: Bacterial small subunit ribosomal RNA
Source: RNAcentral